ACCACCGCCCCCUUGUACUUUCUCUCUUAUUUUUCAUUGGAUUUUUGUUUCGUUUUCAGGUCGUGGUGCGAUCGGUAUGGAGAAGUUGUUCUGGACGUGGUGAGGAAAGAGUUCAAGGAGCAUGUUGGGGAGAUGGAGAGCUUGAGAAAUGCGGCAAGAGAGAAACACGGUAUCCACUCAGCGCGAUGGACUGCAUUCCAAGAUGACGAGGAGAAUUGUCACCCGAAUCUCUUUGCUCCGCCGCGAGACAACAACCACAAUUAUACUUCAAAGUUCCAUGAAACCAAUCCGUUCUGUGAUGAUCACAUUCACACCACCCCUAGGAAGCUGAGAUCGAAACCGGCAACUUAUACACAAGAGCAGAACCAGAACCAGAAUCCCUUUUGGAUCCCGGGCACGGCUACUAAUGCGUUUUCGUUGAGUAGCUGCUUAAUAUGUAUUUUGAUUGAGAGAUCGCUUGAUAUGUUGUAUGAACUUUGAGAGAAGAACGCUGUUCUUCCAAGCAUUCAAACUUUAUGUUUGAUUUGUAAAUGUAGGCAAUGUAUUAUCUCCUUCAAUGUUUCGGAACUCGAUUCGCUCCUUGAUUUUUAUUUUCUUAGUUCUUCUCACUCACUAUUUGAAAUCCUCUAAAGGGCCUUCAUGCAAAUAUCCAACACGCGUGUAAUACAAGAAACAAAUCAAUCGAAACAUACGACAUGAUCAUCAGGAGUUGGGGUUACUUGCGAUGCAGGUAAAGUGGUCGAAUUGGAUUGGAAAUCAAGUUAAAAAUCGCAAAUUCGGCAGCAAGAGGAAUUUUUUGCAGACACCUGAACCCCGAGUCGUCCUAACCAGAGACUAUACCUUGACAACAAAACUAGCAAGAUUUAUUCAAGACAUUCAAGUAAAGGCAAAGGAAUCUGCAAGCUUUUGAGCAAAAUGGAAGGUCCGUUACCAAUAAUUCCAGCAAGAAACCCACUAUGUGAAAAAGAUAAAAGAAAAAGCAGAUAACGCUUCACCCCAGUCGUGAAAAGCAAUCAUGCUUAUACACCUUGGGGCGGAUUAAAAGAACUUUACAACAUUACAAAGAACUUAAAGACAUUAUAGCUAUCCUUGGGUUUCAAUCCCUAAAGAACUUCAAGACGUUAUAGCUAUCCUUGGGUUUCAAUGCUCACUGGUCCCCUCGCUCUUAACAAUUAACAAUCUAACUUACUAACGCUAUCGUUUGUCUAAAAAUAAAAGCCAAAAAUACAUAACCAAAAAACACACUAUAAGAUCCCACAUCGCCCACACAGUGAUCCUUAAAUGUAUAUUCUCAUCCCUAUCUAGCACGAGACAUUUUGGGAGCUCACUAGAUUCGGGUUCCGUAGGAACUCCAAAGUUAAGCGAGAAGGAAGCUAGAGCACUCCCAGGAUGGGUGACUCACUGGGAAGUUGCUCGUGUGUUCCCAGAAGGCGUGGUCGGGACCCAAAGCGGACAAUAUCGUACUACGGUGGUGGAGCGGACCUAGGAAGUGGUCCGCCCCGGGCCGGGAUGUGACAAACACCAAGGUAAAAAGGGAAAAUACUGAAAGAAAAAAAAACGAAAAUCCCAGGGUUUGCUAUGUUUGAAGCCUCUUUGUUGAGAUGAAGAUGCCAAUUCAUGCACAUUGAUAUGUAAGUAUCUCGUUCUUUCAAUCACUAUAAAUCCGCAUCAAGGACGGCAGACGCUACAAUAUCGUGGAUUUCGGAAAAAUUCAGAUACAAGUCAGUCUUGGGGGACCAAAACAUGUCCUGGUAGAUGCGAAGAACCAUCUUUAACUAUAUACAUUACUGUGUAGUAUGUACAAUUAAAUCAAAGAGAAGAUAUCUCCGAGUUAGGGACAGAACAGUCGGUGAAACCCUCACGAACAUCUCCUCGGCAAAGCGGGCAAACUCUGUAAGCAGGAAUGAACAGAGAGAAUUUCGGUGAGAAAAAAUACAUGGGGAAAUGAAGGACAAUCAUGAAGGGGGGAAAAACAGAGGAUGGCAAUGACAAUACCCGUGUAUCUCUUUGAGCCACUUAUCAACGCAUGACAUGUGAUACUCGUGAUGGCAGGGAAGAACUCGAAUUUUGUCUCCUUCCUCAUACUCAGCGAGGCAUAUGUAACACCUAUCAAUUAUUAACUCACCAUGAUCAAACAAAUUCAUUAUGCUCCCUACUGAUGAAAUCAUUUAAGUAAAACUUACUGUUCAACAUCAUCCCCGGACUUUGGUUUGUCAACCUUUGUGUGACUUUUAAGAGGAAAACCAUCAACAAGAGAUGCUGGGGCAGGAGCUGAGACCAUCGACAGUGAAAGUGACACAGGUUGGCGGUGAAUCUCAUCCAAAACCUGCACAUCGCACAUUACAACAAAAUUAGGUUUGAUACAUUCAUAAGGUACACAGUAAUCUGUUGUGUAAUAUCUGCCCCUAAGCUUAACCGUCAAACAUAGAUAAAAACUGCGCAAACCAUAUCACAGCCGUUCAACCUAGAUUGGUAAACAUGCAGCCAAAGCCCUCAAAGAGACCUCAAGAAGAAGAAUAUACUAAAAUCAUCGCUGAUUUAAUUACGUUGCUUAAAUACCCUCCUAACUUAAGACAUAUGCAAGAGUGCAGAAAGAAAAUUACCUCAAAUAGAGCUUCGGCGAGCAUGACAAUUCUUGAUAUACUUGCCCGAGUACUAGACUCUUCAGCCAUCAAGAAUGAGCCACAUGAGCACAUGCCACGAGGGUGGAUUCCUGUGGGACAAGAGGUAUUACGCUGGCCAUUAUCAUCAAGGCCAACACGAAGUCUUUCCCAGACCUACAAAGAGUCAUGCAGAUGCAAAUCAAUGAAAAUUACUAGUGGGACCCCAAAAAAUAAAGCUGCUAUAGUUUACGGAUUUCUCCGGCCCGUAAAACAUCUGGAUAUAACACUUCAUAAAGUAUAAAAGAACCUUUGAUGAAUGAUAUAUUUGUAAACCAUGUAAAUGAACAUACACAUAUACAAAAUACAGUUAAGCCCCCAUACUCUCGCAAAUGAAAAAACUCAAUUUUAAGAUCCAAGUUAAGCCACGUGACUGAAACAUCAUAAUAUUUUUUAAUGUUAAAAUCUAUCACCUCAGAUCUAGAAUGUCGCCGUCGUUCACUCGAGUUGGGAAUUCUAUUAGCCCGGUGACCAGAAUCAACUCCAAUUUCAUCAUCAAAGAAAUCACCACUCAAACCAAGCAGCCAUCUGUCAUGAAAUCCCAUAUCCUCGGUAUCAUCAGUAGAGAAAAGAAUGGUUGGUGAAUCAAUAAACCUCCUGGAGCUGCGCCUUGAAAAUGCAUCCCAGAACAGUCGCCUGCCAUUCCUUCUAGCCUCACGAUUACUUGCAUCAGCAUUGCUACUCCUCAAAAAGUUGGAAGAAAUGCUCAUAACAUCAACAUGAAGUACACUUCCAUCUUCCUGGCCUUGUUCCCUAUUGGACACAAGGAAUCCUAAACCAGAAGGUAUUGCCUCCCGAAGGGAAUCAUUUCCAAGUGAGUCGAAAGUCGACGGAGUUUCAGAAACAUUAGCAGAAUCAGUAUCAGCAUUAAAACCCUGUACACCCCUUACGUCAGCCACAUGAUUCUCAACAGACACUUCCUGAGAACGGGAAUUCCGAAUCCCUUGUGGAGAUGAGCUACUUGGAAGCAUAACCUCGGGACAGGUCUCAGAUACAUUCUUGUCUGCUGAAAUGUCAAUGCCAUUGACUGAAUCCACAUUAGCAGAACCAUUCAAAGAGACUGUUUCUGAAGAUUGUUCUUGUCUAAACGAAGUACUAGCGGUAGUACUAUUAUCCCUACAAGAUUGAUCAUGACUAUAAUCGGCACUUACCUGAUGAGGUAUUAGUUCUUUACUUUUGGACAAGCACUUCCCCCGGUUAAUUGUGUCAACACUGCUUAAUCCUUCUUCAACAGUGCUCUCAGAUGAUGAUCCAAUUUCAAUAAUGGGGCAGGUGAACAGUGGUCCACUACUGGAGACCAACGAGGAUCCUUCUCCAGAGUUCCGGACUUGAUUGAUAUCAAGAUCAGAUUGCUCUGCAUAUUUUACACGACACUCAGGUGCGUGAUCUUCCAUCUGCAGGAAAAGUACUGAAGCAAAUCAGUCUCCUUAUGCAAUCUAUAUGACUAUAACUACCAAGUACAAAAUGAUUCACGAAAUUUGAAGGGUAUUGGUAGAAAAGGUCAAAAAACACUAUCAAGGCAUGAAGCAAAUCAGUCUCCAUAUGCAAGCUAUAUGACCAUAACUACCAGGUACAAAAUGAUUCACGAAAUUUGAAGGGUAUUGGUAGAAAAGGUCAAAAUACACUAUCAAGGCAUGAAGCAAAUCCGUCUCCUUAUGCAAUCUAUAUGACUAUAACUACCAGGUACAAAAUGAUUCACGAAAUUUGAAGGGUAUUGGUAGAAAAGGUCAAAAUACACUAUCAAGGCAUGAAGCAAAUCAGUCUCCUUAUGUAAUCUAUAUGACUAUAACUACCAAGUACAAAAUGAUUCACGAAAUUUGUAGGGUAUUGGUAGAAAAGGUCAAAAUACACUAUCAAGGCAUCAAUACAACUACGUAACACCACAGUUCUUUGGCCACCAAAAAAGGUAUUAAACUUACGUUUCUAUACUGUCCAUCAUAAGAGAUGUGCAUUUACUCCCAAAUGAACACAAGUAACACAAGAAUAAAUAACUUCAGUUAUACGCUAAAUAGACUAAUGCUAGGUAUCUCAACUUCAAACCAACACCAAGCAAAAUUUCUGCUUCAUGACUUCAUGGAAAUAAUAUAUUGAGGUUGUCAUCACAAGUGCAUCGCAAAGCACUAAAUAAAAACAACUGCAAUCAUUUGAUAUCUAAUUACAUGCCUCUACUUCUCCAGAAGAUUCCUAAUACGUUCGUCAUGAGGACUCCCAUGAACAAUAAUAGACUUGCACACAAUUAUAUACUUAUAUUCUAGCAAAAUAUCUUUACUCAUCCAAACUUUUCUAAAUCUUCCCUAUCUCCCGAGAAUGGGGGCAUAUAUACACAGAAACAUUUUUACCAACCACUUCACACUACUACAUCAGCAGCAUGAUUGAUUCCCAGCUCAAGAACAUAAGUUGCGCUAAAGACUACGUGAUCAUUUAUCCGCACCAUUAAGAACCUUGACCUUCAAGUUCUACGAUCGUAAUCAAACUUUCUCCAACCAUUUCCCUGAGCAUCCUACCAACCACUCAUCGGGGAUCAUCAUUAAAGUUCAUAUUCAAAAACACUAAAAAAUCAAACAACAUAGUUCAGACCCCGAAAACAAAGUUAAAUCCUUUUUCCUCAUUCACGAUUGUUAUACUGGACUUGAACAAAUGUAUACAUUAAAACAAACAUAACUCGAACUGUCAAUUCAAUGUCCCCAUUAAUUAAAUCCCCAAACUUUUUUCAACAACACGGUCGCAUAAUUAGCAGUUUUAAAAUAUGAAUACAAUAUUCACAAUUGCAGGGAAAUUAUAACGAAAAUUCAAAGUAACUGAGUCAUUAUGAUAUUACCGAGCACAGGGCCAAUCUUCUGCAUCAGCUGGACAAAUCCCAUAGAUUUUUAUUGGAUUGUAACUUGAAUUGAGGAAAAUCAAACCCCCAAGAAAAUUAAUUUAAUGAAAAAAGCUUAAAAUUCUUCUAAUUUGCACCAAAUGAUCAAAUCCCAAAUCAUCCAAAACCAGUAAAAAUCGAAUUUUGCAUCAAAAAAUGUAAAAAGUAUGAGAAAUCCAAAAAUGGGCAUUGACGAUUGAAUUGAAGGCAUCGAUUUUAGUGGAGGACGAUGAAGAAGAAGAAGAAAAGGGUACCUCGUGAGUAGCACGUGCAGAGGAGCCACCACAGACGAAAGAGGAGAGUAUGGAACGACUGGCGGUGCGAUUGACUCGGGGCCGAGAUGGGCGCGAGCCCAGUCGACUGCUGCUCGAACCCAUUUGAGAGAGAGAGAGAGGAAGGAGAGAGAGAGAGAGAGAGAGAGAGAGAGAGAGCGCUUCAGAGAUGGUGAUGAAUGAUGAUAAUUGAAGCAAACCGGCUGAGAGAGAGAGAGCUUUCCAUUUUUCCUUUUUUAUUUCAAAUUCAAUUUUCAUUGUGAACUAAUGGUUUCUACAGUGGACCAGGCUUGACCGACCCAUCAAAUAUAUGGGUCUGGAUCAUCAAGUUUCGGCCCAAUGUAUUCAGUAAAAAACAAAGCUAAGAGCAACUCCAUAUUUAAAAAAUGAGAUGACUCAAAGUCCAUUUAAUCCACCAAAAUGAAUAGUAAUUGACUUUAAUGAACAAUAAUUGUCCAAGUGCAUCAAUUCCUAAAAAAUGAGCUGGGUAAGAGUUUAGUCAAUUCGUAUUAAAAUAUUAUUAAUUUUUUUUAUAAAAAAUUAAAAAAUAAUUUUAUUUUUAAUUUCGGAUAGAAUUUUUAACCUCUUGUCACGUUACGUGUCAUUUUCCGAAAGUACAAUUUUUGUGAAAGAUGGUUAGGUAUAUAUAUAUAUGUAUAUAAUCUUUUAUUUUUUUCUGUAUUUUUAAACAAAUUUUUAUAAUUUUUUAUUAAGUUAAUUAAUCUGGAUCAUUGGAUUUCAAAAAAUAAAAAAAUCCAAUAGCCUAAAAAUGGACAUGUGACCCAUGGUAAGAUUCUGAUAUUUUUUUUAAUGCUGGAACGCACACCUACGCAAGCGUGUAUCCCACGGGCCAACAGCAAAAAAAAAAAUUCACAUGGCUGACGUCAGCUUGGCCUCAUGUAGGCCGGUCUAUUGCUCAGUCCAUUAUGUGUUGGGCUCAAAGGUGGCCUCCACUUUGGGCCAACCUAUUGGGUGGGGUGAAGUUGGUUUUUUUUUUUUUUGGGGGGGGGGGGGCAGCCUAAAAAUUAGACUUUGAGCUAGCACAUUUGUUAGGGAUGAAAUGCUCUAAUAGAAAAAAUGUUAGGCUUAUCAUAUUUUUAAUAUUUCAUGUGUAUAACAUUUUUAAUAAAUAUGGGAUCUACAGUGUUAUUUGCACACUAAUUUUUAUCUCUCACAUAUUCUUGUUAAUUUUUAUUGACUCAUCUUCUUCAAUUCAUAUUGUCGACCGAAAAUUAAGAGGAGUGCGUGAGAAGAAAAAUGAGUGUGUAGAUAACGCUAUUGUAUAAAAAAUUUGAUAAAUAUAGUAUUUACUCUUAUGAUAGAGAUAGGGUUACGUGUUUGGUAUAUAUACGAGUACAAUGAAGCCAUGACAUUUGUAGUGGUGAUUGGUUACAUUGGUAUACUUGAGAUGUGAGGCAAAUUUAUUACCAUCACAAAGAUAAUUAUGAAACUUAUGGGCCUUCUAUUUUACUAAAAAUUGACCUCCAUCGUCCAUAUAUGAAACUUAAACUUGGAGAAAGAUCGUAUACGUUUUAUGAAAGGUUUUUUUAUCUGACAUGGAAUGAGAUAUGGUUUUCUUAACUAAGAUGUGAAAGACAAAAUUAUUCCCAUCACAAAGAUAAUUAUGGAACAUGGGCCUUAUAUUCUACUAAAAUUUGACAUAUUAACUACAUUUUACUAGAAAGAUGUACAUAAAGUUAUACCCAUUUUGGGAAAGUUAUCUAAUUUGACAGAGAAAAUCGAUAAUUUCAAAUGUGUCAAGACGUGUGAUUAUCUCUGUUUAAUUAUAAAUUGGAGGUAGAGAAAAAUGGCAGCACUUUAAUUGUAGUGUGUUUGAAUAGUUGAUCAAGGUAUCGGCAGAGAAAUAUCGAGUUGAAUUGUAGGUAUUCAACUACCAGCAAGACAACCAUGGAUCCAUGGGUGUGACUAGCAGUUGGUGCAUAUGAUGGACACGUUUUACCACUAACAGACGAAACACCAUGUCUGUAUCUACAUAGCUUUCUAUCCUUUCUCCACGUACUUCUGCACCCCAUUAACAAAAAGGCAAAUUAAAAUAUAUUAUACAAAAGUAGACCUAACUUUAAUGCUUUAUCCACUCCUAUAAAAUCUACAUAAUCGUCGAGUUCCAACACACUUCAGAACAAUAUAUCCACUUAUAGUUGCAGGGAACUAAGAAAAAAAAGAAGAUCGACUGAGAAACAUGCCUGACCAUCCACCACCACCACCGGGCCAUGAUCACGGACCCCCUCAUCCUGAGCCUCCUCCGCCGCACGCCCAUGCUCCUCCUCCUCCUCAGCCGGGCGGUGGACCUCACGCACCUCCCCCUGGCCCUCCUGAACCACACAAGCCACAUCAUGAUCCCCAUCAUGGUCCCCAUCAUGGUCCUGGUCAUCACCACCCAUGAAUCAUCAUUCAUCGUAUGAUGAAUAUAUACAUGCUUGCAUGCAUGUAUGUAGAUGUAUGGUGUACGUUGUGAUGUAAUUUCUAGUUUUAACUAAGUCGGUGAGUCCUCUCAUGAUCAUGCAGUUUUAAUGAAUGAUGACUUCGUGUACCCAAAAAGUAUGCAUGAUUAUGUAAAUUAAUAAGAUCGGUUUGUGGUUUUAAUUUCCUCUUAAUUAAUUAGUUAAUUUGGUACGCACUGAGCUGCUGAUCAAAGUGUGGUUUAAGAUGCAAAAUUUCCAUUCCUUUCAUGUUUUAAUUAAGAUGCAAAUCUAAUUACAAACAAAUACGCUGCAACUAACUAAAAACCCUACGUGCAGCAGGCCAUGGAUAAUUUUUGGUCUUUAAUUCGAUCUUUUACUUUAGAUAAAUGUCUAAUUUAAUUGCUGCAAAAGCUAGCUUCUGAAGUAUGAUCAGUGUUAAGAAACAAAUAAAAUUAAGAUAUAUAUCAUCAUUAUAAUUAAAUUUUCUGAUGUAGGAGAACAAAUGAAAUAUGCGUAUAUUGUCGGUGCGUAAUCCGCACUAAUAAUACAACGUUAAAUAAAAAUAUGUAUGUAUUAUUGUAUUAUACAAAUGUAAUGCCACAGUAAGGUUAUUUCCAACCGAAUGAGGGCCAAAAUGCUAUCUUUAGCUCUAUAGUCUUGCAAGAAAUUAUAUUUUAAUGAAUAGUGCUAUGCUAUAUUUUAUACAUCUCAAACU
Molecule: long non-coding RNA, 8927 nt
Filed under: Malus domestica (apple)
Lineage: Eukaryota; Viridiplantae; Streptophyta; Magnoliopsida; Rosales; Rosaceae
Description: long non-coding RNA (MDOM_LNC001278)
Source: RNAcentral